This 734-nucleotide long non-coding RNA is filed under the name Panax ginseng (ginseng). Its description in RNAcentral is "long non-coding RNA (PGIN_LNC007922)". The record is from RNAcentral. Lineage: Eukaryota; Viridiplantae; Streptophyta; Magnoliopsida; Apiales; Araliaceae.
UUACAGAUUGACAGAAGAGGCCACAAAUGGAAAUCCGUGGGCACCUGAUACGCGUACCCUGAAGAAUGAAGAUGAUAUCCAAGGCUGCUUUUGAAGUUGAUGAUUAUAGCAGAAUUCUGCAUAUUCUGCACAACAGGUUUCUUAGUUUUAUCUUUUUGAUUUCUUUUAAUGUGUUUAGUUUAAUGUGUGACAUUGUAGUAAUGACAUGUUUUCCACAAAUACUGCCAUCAUAAGAACCUUAAUCCUCCACCAGGUUCAGCCAUAGGUCUCAUCAUGAGAGAUCAGAUUAUUGUUCAACUUUGAAGCCUUAAAUUUUUUUUAUUUCUUAUUCGGUUAACUGAAUAACACAAAAUCCAAAUCCGAAAACCGAAUAAUAAUUCGGUUAAAAAAAAUCGGUUCGGUUCGGUUAUUCGGUUUUAUCCGUUUUUUGUUCACUCCUAGUAUCCCAUCUGAUGGGUCACUAAUCCCUCCUAUAAAUAGCCUAGGGGAGUCAGACUUUUGAUUCAUUCAAUUCCAAGCAUUCAAAUCAUUGUUAAGUCAUUCAAAUAUUCAUCAUUCAUAAGUCUCAUAGUUUAUUUUGAGAUAGAGUUCAAAACAUUUUAUUUGGUUUGUCGUGGUGUAUACUAUUUGUAGUACUGGGAGACAAGUGCUAUUAGCUUUGAGCACCGUAAGGAGGACAUAAAAGGACAUAAUACCAAGUACUAGCCUUGACAUAUAUUGCAUAUCAAUUUUGG